CGCUGGCGGCAGGCCUAACCAUGCAAGUCGAACGGUAGCACAGAGAGCUUGCUCUCGGGUGACGAGUGGCGGACGGGUGAGUAAUGUCUGGGAAACUGCCUGAUGGAGGGGGAUAACUACUGGAAACGGUAGCUAAUACCGCAUAACGUCGCAAGACCAAAGAGGGGGACCUUCGGGCCUCUUGCCAUCAGAUGUGCCCAGAUGGGAUUAGCUAGUAGGUGGGGUAAUGGCUCACCUAGGCGACGAUCCCUAGCUGGUCUGAGAGGAUGACCAGCCACACUGGAACUGAGACACGGUCCAGACUCCUACGGGAGGCAGCAGUGGGGAAUAUUGCACAAUGGGCGCAAGCCUGAUGCAGCCAUGCCGCGUGUAUGAAGAAGGCCUUCGGGUUGUAAAGUACUUUCAGCGGGGAGGAAGGUGUUGUGGUUAAUAACCACAGCAAUUGACGUUACCCGCAGAAGAAGCACCGGCUAACUCCGUGCCACAGCCG
Molecule: ribosomal RNA, 490 nt
Filed under: Leclercia adecarboxylata
Lineage: Bacteria; Pseudomonadati; Pseudomonadota; Gammaproteobacteria; Enterobacterales; Enterobacteriaceae
Description: bacterial SSU rRNA
Rfam family: Bacterial small subunit ribosomal RNA
Source: RNAcentral